AACGAACGCUGGCGGCGCGCCUAAUACAUGCAAGUCGAGCGGUAAGGCCCUUUCGGGGGUACACGAGCGGCGAACGGGUGAGUAACACGUGGGUGACCUGCCCUCAGCUCUGGGAUAAGCCUGGGAAACCGGGUCUAAUACUGGAUAUGACUCCAUGACGCAUGUUGUGGGGUGGAAAGCCUUGUGCGGCUGAGGAUGGGCCCGCGGCCUAUCAGCUUGUUGGUGGGGUGAUGGCCUACCAAGGCGA
Molecule: ribosomal RNA, 247 nt
Filed under: uncultured Actinomycetes bacterium
Lineage: Bacteria; Bacillati; Actinomycetota; Actinomycetes
Description: uncultured actinobacterium partial 16S ribosomal RNA
Rfam family: Bacterial small subunit ribosomal RNA
Source: RNAcentral